AUUUAAAUAAUUUAAAAUUUUUAAAAUAUUGAUUUGUGGGAUCAAAUAUGUAAAUAUUUACUUUAAAUA
This 69-nucleotide transfer RNA is filed under the name Lamennaisia nobilis. RNAcentral's name for it is "tRNA-His". The record is from RNAcentral. RNAcentral also lists the same sequence under 1 other name. Lineage: Eukaryota; Metazoa; Arthropoda; Insecta; Hymenoptera; Encyrtidae.